RNAcentral lists this ribosomal RNA (224 nucleotides) under uncultured bacterium. RNAcentral's name for it is "partial 16S ribosomal RNA". It matches the Rfam family "Bacterial small subunit ribosomal RNA", at positions 16 to 231 of the family's 1533-position model. The record is from RNAcentral.
AUCAUGGCUCAGGAUGAACGCUAGCUACAGGCUUAACACAUGCAAGUCGAGGGGCAGCAUGGUCUUAGCUUGCUAAGGCCGAUGGCGACCGGCGCACGGGUGAGUAACACGUAUCCAGCCUGCCGUCUACUCUUGGACAGCCUUCUGAAAGGAAGAUUAAUACAAGAUGGCAUCAUGAGUCCGCAUGUUCACAUGNUUAAAGGUAUUCCGGUAGACGACGGGGA